Molecule: ribosomal RNA, 253 nt
Filed under: uncultured bacterium
Lineage: Bacteria
Description: partial 16S ribosomal RNA
Rfam family: Bacterial small subunit ribosomal RNA
Source: RNAcentral
UACAGAGGGUGCAAGCGUUGCUCGGAAUCAUUGGGCGUAAAGGGCAGGUAGGUGGUCUCGUUUGUCUGAGGUGAAAGCCCAGGGCUUAACCCUGGAAGUGCCUUAGAAACGGCGAGACUAGAAUCUUGGAGAGGGUCGUGGAAUUCCCGGUGUAGCGGUGAAAUGCGUAGAGAUCGGGAGGAACACCAGAGGCGAAGGCGGCGACCUGGACAAGUAUUGACACUCAACUGCGAAAGCGUGGGGAGCAAACAGG